Molecule: ribosomal RNA, 164 nt
Filed under: uncultured bacterium
Lineage: Bacteria
Description: partial 16S ribosomal RNA
Rfam family: Bacterial small subunit ribosomal RNA
Source: RNAcentral
UAGGGAAUCUUCCACAAUGGGCGAAAGCCUGAUGGAGCAACGCCGCGUGUGUGAUGAAGGGUUUCGGCUCGUAAAACACUGUUGUAAGAGAAGAAUGACAUUGAGAGUAACUGUUCAGGUAUUGACGGUAUUUAACCAGAAAGCCACGGCUAACUACGUGACAG